UACGUAGGGUGCGAGCGUUGUCCGGAUUUAUUGGGCGUAAAGAGCUCGUAGGCGGUUUGUCGCGUCGGCCGUGAAAUCUCCACGCUUAACGUGGAGCGUGCGGUCGAUACGGGCAGACUUGAGUUCGGUAGGGGAGACUGGAAUUCCUGGUGUAGCGGUGAAAUGCGUAGAUAUCUGGAGGAACACCGGUGGCGAAGGCGGCAUCCUGGACCGAUACUGACGCUGAGGAGCGAAAGCCAGGGGAGCAAACAGG
Molecule: ribosomal RNA, 253 nt
Filed under: uncultured bacterium
Lineage: Bacteria
Description: partial 16S ribosomal RNA
Rfam family: Bacterial small subunit ribosomal RNA
Source: RNAcentral